GAUGAACGCUGGCGGCGUGCCUAAUACAUGCAAGUCGAGCGAACGGACGAGAAGCUUGCUUCUCUGAUGUUAGCGGCGGACGGGUGAGUAACACGUGGAUAACCUACCUAUAAGACUGGGAUAGCUUCGGGAAACCGUAGCUAAUACCGGAUAAUAUUUUGAACCGCAUGGUUCAAAAGUGAAAGACGGUCUUGCUGUCACUUAUAGAUGGAUCCGCGCUGCAUUAGCUAGUUGGUAGGGUAACGGCUUACCAAGGCAACGAUGCAUAGCCGACCUGAGAGGGUGAUCGGCCACACUGGAACUGAGACACGGUCCAGACUCCUACGGGAGGCAGCAGUAGGGAAUCUUCCGCAAUGGGCGAAAGCCUGACGGAGCAACGCCGCGUGAGUGAUGAAGGUCUUCGGAUCGUAAAACUCUGUUAUUAGGGAAGAACAUAUGUGUAAGUAACUGUGCACAUCUUGACGGUACCUAAUCAGAAAGCCACGGCUAACUACGUG
RNAcentral lists this ribosomal RNA (497 nucleotides) under uncultured bacterium. Its description in RNAcentral is "partial 16S ribosomal RNA". It matches the Rfam family "Bacterial small subunit ribosomal RNA", at positions 28 to 507 of the family's 1533-position model. The record is from RNAcentral.